RNAcentral lists this ribosomal RNA (465 nucleotides) under uncultured bacterium. Its description in RNAcentral is "partial 16S ribosomal RNA". It matches the Rfam family "Bacterial small subunit ribosomal RNA", at positions 28 to 507 of the family's 1533-position model. The record is from RNAcentral.
GACGAACGCUGGCGGCGUGCUUAACACAUGCAAGUCGAACGGAAAGGCCCUGCUUGCAGGGUCCUCGAGUGGCGAACGGGUGAGUAACACGUGGGUGAUCUGCCCUGCACUUCGGGAUAAGCCUGGGAAACUGGGUCUAAUACCGGAUAGGAGCCAUUUUUAGUGUGAUGGUUGGAAAGUUUUUUCGGUGUAGGAUGAGCUCGCGGCCUAUCAGCUUGUUGGUGGGGUAAUGGCCUACCAAGGCGGCGACGGGUAGCCGGCCUGAGAGGGUGGACGGCCACAUUGGGACUGAGAUACGGCCCAGACUUCUACGGGAGGCAGCAGUGGGGAAUAUUGCACAAUGGGCGCAAGCCUGAUGCAGCGACGCCGCGUGGGGGAUGACGGCCUUCGGGUUGUAAACUCCUUUCGCUAGGGACGAAGCUUUUUGUGACGGUACCUAGAGAAGAAGCACCGGCUAACUACGUG